Molecule: transfer RNA, 91 nt
Filed under: Planctomycetota bacterium
Lineage: Bacteria; Pseudomonadati; Planctomycetota
Description: tRNA-Ser
Rfam family: tRNA
About the family: Transfer RNA (tRNA) molecules are approximately 80 nucleotides in length. Their secondary structure includes four short double-helical elements and three loops (D, anti-codon, and T loops).
Source: RNAcentral
GGAGAGGUGCCAGAGUGGCCGAUCGGGGCGGUCUCGAAAACCGCUGUCCUGCUUUGCGGGACCGUGGGUUCGAAUCCCACCCUCUCCGCCA